ACCCGCUGAACUUAAGCAUAUCAAUAAGCGGAGGAAAGGAAACCAACAGGGAUUGCCCUAGUAACGGCGAGUGAAGCGGCAACAGCUCAAAUUUGAAAUCUGGCUCUUUCAGAGUCCGAGUUGUAAUUUGCAGAGGGCGCUUUGGCGUUGGCAGCGGUCCAAGUUCCUUGGAACAGGACGUCACAGAGGGUGAAAAUCCCGUACGUGGUCGCUAACCUUCGCCGUGUAAAGCCCCUUCGACGAGUCGAGUUGUUUGGGAAUGCAGCUCUAAAUGGGAGGUAAAUUUCUUCUAAAGCUAAAUACUGGCCAGAGACCGAUAGCGCACAAGUAGAGUGAUCGAAAGAUGAAAAGCACUUUGGAAAGAGAGUCAAAUAGCACGUGAAAUUGUUGAAAGGGAAGCGCUUGCAGCCAGACUUGCCUGUAGUUGCUCAUCCGGGCUUUUGCCCGGUGCACUCUUCUGCGGGCAGGCCAGCAUCAGUUUGGGCGGUUGGAUAAAGGUCUCUGUCAUGUACCUCUCUUCGGGGAGGCCUUAUAGGGGAGACGACAUGCAACCAGCCUGGACUGAGGUCCGCGCAUCUGCUAGGAUGCUGGCGUAAUGGCUGU
This 603-nucleotide ribosomal RNA is filed under the name uncultured fungus. RNAcentral's name for it is "eukaryotic LSU rRNA". It matches the Rfam family "Eukaryotic large subunit ribosomal RNA", at positions 23 to 641 of the family's 3401-position model. Lineage: Eukaryota; Fungi. The record is from RNAcentral.